AAAAACGCGUGAGGUCUCUUGGGUCACCUCCCACCCGUGUUUAUUUUACCUUGUUGCUUCGGCGGGCCCGCCUUUACUGGCCGCCGGGGGGCUCACGCCCCCGGGCCCGCGCCCGCCGAAGACACCCCCGAACUCUGUCUGAAGAUUGAAGUCUGAGUGAAAAUAUAAAUUAUUUAAAACUUUCAACAACGGAUCUCUUGGUUCCGGCAUCGAUGAAGAACGCAGCGAAAUGCGAUACGUAAUGUGAAUUGCAAAUUCAGUGAAUCAUCGAGUCUUUGAACGCACAUUGCGCCCCCUGGUAUUCCGGGGGGCAUGCCUGUCCGAGCGUCAUUGCUGCCCUCAAGCCCGGCUUGUGUGUUGGGCCCCGUCCUCCGAUUCCGGGGGACGGGCCCGAAAGGCAGCGGCGGCACCGCGUCCGGUCCUCGAGCGUAUGGGGCUUUGUCACCCGCUCUGUAGGCCCGGCCGGCGCUUGCCGAUCAACCCAAAUUUUUAUCCAGGUUGACCUCGGAUCAGGUAGGGAUACCCGCUGAACUUAAGCAUAUCAAAAACCGGGAGGAA
RNAcentral lists this ribosomal RNA (558 nucleotides) under uncultured Penicillium. Its description in RNAcentral is "eukaryotic LSU rRNA". The stretch from base 178 to 330 matches the Rfam family "5.8S ribosomal RNA". The record is from RNAcentral. Lineage: Eukaryota; Fungi; Ascomycota; Eurotiomycetes; Eurotiales; Aspergillaceae.